Molecule: non-coding RNA, 26 nt
Filed under: Mus musculus (house mouse)
Lineage: Eukaryota; Metazoa; Chordata; Mammalia; Rodentia; Muridae
Source: RNAcentral
UCUUCAAUACGAUGAUUCCUUUUCCA